Molecule: ribosomal RNA, 172 nt
Filed under: Rhodotorula sp.
Lineage: Eukaryota; Fungi; Basidiomycota; Microbotryomycetes; Sporidiobolales; Sporidiobolaceae
Description: partial large subunit ribosomal RNA
Source: RNAcentral
AAACGCUUGAAGUCGGACGGAUAGGCAACUAUCGGCCAACAUCAGUUUCAAUAGUCGGAUAAAAGCGGAAGAAGGUAGCAGGUCCGCCUGUGUUAUAGCUUCCAGCCGAAUACGAAUAAUGAGACUGAGGACCGCGCGUAAGCUAGGAUGUUGGUGGAACGGCUUUAAACGA